AGCGGUUCACUAAUUGGAUUUACAAAUAGCAUCAGUGUACAUACUAAAGUUUGCUGAAUAUCUAGAAAAUUCACUAGGAACUUAAGUAAAUUUUCUCUCACGGUUUGUCACUAGAUUUUUAAUGAGUCCUUUUCCAUCGCCACUUCAAAGAAUAGUUUAGCAGGAUUUAUUCUCCAUUCAAAAGACUCAAUAGAUAAUAACGACUCAGUCUACCGUCUGAUUUUGGCUCUGGCAGCAAGUUUGAAAUUCGAUAUUGAAGAAGUCCUAAACGAAAUCAGCAAAGAGUAUAACUUCGUACAAUGGCGACGGGCAAGUCUUUAGUGCUGUCAGAAUGGGGUCGUAAAAUCGUCGAAGCAGAGGCGCGUCUCUUAUUGAAGACGCCAUGAAUGCCGAAAGAAACUACGCACGCAAUAACUGCUAGAAGGAGCUCGAGGGUGAACCGCACGGAUUUACCCGGUUACGAGAUAAAACUUUCCCUUCAAACGCAAAGUGUUGACCAUCAGUUGAAACGAGGGUUGUUCGUCAUGCAUGAAUAAUAACCCAAGGGUUUUUGAAUAAACAUACAUAAACAUGUAAGAUUUUGAAAUUGAAAAAUUACCAUAGAAAAAAAGGUUAAUAACUAUGCGAAAUACUUUGUCGAAUUUAUAUCUCCCUCUAUGAAUUAAAUUGCUAAACCAAUUCAAUCCUCUUGAUUAAAAGGUCGACAAUUUUGAACAAUGGA
Long non-coding RNA from Cephus cinctus (wheat stem sawfly), 721 nucleotides. RefSeq lists it as uncharacterized. The record is from RefSeq and is a predicted model, not a curated record. Lineage: Eukaryota; Metazoa; Arthropoda; Insecta; Hymenoptera; Cephidae. The transcript has 3 exons.